UUUGCUAGGGGAUUUAUAACAGAACAUCCAGGUGGUAUCGCCACAUCUCUCGCAAAGAUGGACUGGGGAAAGACAUUAAGUUGGAACCAACACGCCAGCGGAUCUAUCUCGUUCUCGUUCUGGGGGACAAGUCAGCCUGUGCUUUCCUUUUUUUAGACAAAAAAAAAUCUGUCGUCCACUGAGCAGGGAAACAUUAGGAUCUUUGGAGAUUUGCGGAAGAGGAGUCAGAGCUGCUGGAGGAGAAAUUGGCGUUCCUGGACAGCACACCCUUAAUCUUCAAGCAUCCUUCCGUCAUGUUCUUUCUCUGCUGCUCCCAGUGUCUCAGCAGAGGAAAGUCAAUUCCUUGGAUAUUUUAAAGUCCUCUAAGUAAUGAGGAGUGUGUUGGACUCCCAUUUCUUUCAGCAAAGCUGCAUUCAUUCAUUGUGCAUCUAAUGUGUCGGCCAAGGCAGAGCCAUGAGGGAGGUUCACGCCGAUUGAAAGCAAGUUGGAGAUGCACAAAUAUGUAUGUAUUAACAUGCAAUAAAUCAUUCAGAAAUGCUAAAUCACAACUGUAACCUUCUGAUACUCUAUGACAUGAUAUCAAUCAGCAGGCUUCUGUGUAAAUACGUCUCUUUCUUGUGGGGUGCCUGCUAAUCUACCCGGACUUCAUCAUUGGCACCAUGCUAAUUAAUAGGCACGAUUCAUAAUAAAUAAAUUAUUUUCACCAGCUAAAACAUGGAACUUUGUUUAUUUGCUUAUUUGAAAGUAAACAUGCUACCCACCGACAUCUGCUGAGAAUGUGGCAACAAAUGGAUGACAGCAAUGGUAAUGAACAGUGUCUGCUUUAUUUAUGUAACUGCAAACAGUUGUACAGCCAUUCAUAAUUCUUCCAAUAAGAGGGAAGCCCACACAGAGCAGAGAGAAAUGGAAUCCAGACACCAGUUUGUGCAAAUGAAGGACAGAUUUGGUUGCACCAUUCAAGCUCUCAGUUGUUGUAUUCUGUGACUGAAGCCACUGCAAUUAG
Molecule: long non-coding RNA, 1003 nt
Organism: Podarcis raffonei (Aeolian wall lizard)
Lineage: Eukaryota; Metazoa; Chordata; Lepidosauria; Squamata; Lacertidae
Exons: 3
Source: RefSeq, a predicted model, not a curated record